Non-coding RNA from Lepisosteus oculatus (spotted gar), 2593 nucleotides. Lineage: Eukaryota; Metazoa; Chordata; Actinopteri; Semionotiformes; Lepisosteidae. The record is from RefSeq and is a predicted model, not a curated record.
UGUACUACACGUGCACACACUACAGAAUGGAUGCAUAUAACACAAUGCUGUAUACACACAGUCCAGAUCUGUACACACAAAGUGAGGUACGGACACACGCAGCACAGCGCAGACACAGUAUACUAUCCAGUGCGGUGUAACCGGUCCGAGAGCAGGACAAGGAAAGGGUCAGACGCAAAGACGAGCGCGCCACCUUUCUCUCCUCGUUUCGGGUUUUUGGGGAGCUCGGAAGAGAGGCCCUGCUCUCUCCUGGCCUCCUCUCUUUCUCUGGGAAACCCAUUGUGCACCGGGGCAAAAAAACGAUGAACAGAGGCCGGAAAUCGCCGAGGACCAUGUCGACGAAGAAGGUUGGGGAAAAAAAAAACCACGGACAGCGAAUAUAUAUAAAUACAUCUAUUUUUCUUUUUAAAGAAGAAUGCUGUCGGUCUGGAUCCAGUCAGGGAGACAGCAGCUUACAGGCAGAAUUCAUUUCAAAGACUUGGGCGGCCGAGCGCCAGACUGCCUUUGUUAUUAAUAUGAUUCUGAUUAAUCGUCAUUUCUUUCUGGGGUUCGUUUGUUUGGAAAAUGGACACAAACGUUUGGGGGGGUGGGGAGGCGAAGGAGGGGGAGGGAGAGAGAGAGAAAUUUAUCAAAGGGGGCUGUCUUGUGAACCCCGAUCCAGAGCCCCCACAGACAGAUCUCCCUCCUUGUGUGGAAGACUGAUAUUCCUGGGGGGAGGUAGUGGGCCGGGCAGAAUGAUAAAGUAAGGGCGACGCAGCGUGUGAAAGUUAAGACAAAGUGCUUGUGCUGUUGUUGCUGCUGUUGUUGUUCCCCAUUAACACUGAACUGCUGCCCUGAGCUGCGAAAAUGGCCUAAUCCGAACACAGACAAAACAAAAAAACUGUUUUGGAAAAUGAAGAAUAAUUCAGAUGAACCAGCGGCAAAGCCAAGGUGGGGGAAAAAAACAACAACGAAAUUUCAAUUGGACUUGCACCGCCAUCUUAACGCCCGCGGAAAAACAAAACCUGUCAACCGGCCGCCAAACACGUGAGUGAAGCCGGACUCGAGAGAGGCGGGAUUCGGAAGCACUCAAGAUGGCGGCCGAACCGCCGCUCUGCCGACACACGCCGGAGAAACAGGAAACAGGAAACAGGAAACGGAAACGGAAGCCUCCCGACACCCGGGCUCUCUCUGCGCGCCAAAAACACCGGCGCGCGCGCGCGCGCGUCUCCCGGGGCGACAGCAGCAACGGCAACAGCGCGCGACUCGCGCUCCCUCCUCCCCCGGCGGCGUCGAAUUAUAAAUAGAAAUAUAUUUUUUAAAAAAAGGGGGACGAACUAUCGGCUGAGAGGUGUAUUCUGGCUAGUGUGGUUUAUUAUCGUUAUUACCGUUUUAAACACGAAAACAAGGUCUAAUAAUACUUGAUUCACGAUGAAAUCUGCAAUUUAAAAGAGAGAGAGAGAGACGUGAAGUAACCUUCACCUGCAAAUAUCCGAAAACUCGCCCAGUUUAUCCGAGGCGUGUGGAGGACGUGAAAGGGACAUCGUUUUGUUUCUGUUUUGUUUGUUGUUUUUUUUUGCGUGGGGGAUAGGAAGAGAACCGAUGGGGACAGGGAGAGAUGAAGAGACGACGUUCGUGUAAUUUUCCCGUCCAAAUAACUACCUGCCUCCAGAGCCCUCGAAACGCAAAAUAUAAUUUCCAACCCGGGAAGACUUUUUUUUUUCCGCCUCUUCCGCGGGGGGGGGGCUCGCUAAUUGGCGCGGGAGCGCGAUGGCGGACCCGUCAAGGGCGGGACGGGCGGGACCUUUAUAACCCCGGGCGGCGGGCGGACAGCCGGAGCAGAACCGGGGUCCGAGCGCUCUCGCCUGCAUCCUCCGGCCUCCCGCGCGUGGAAUGAACCCCGGGCUCCCCCGCCACGGGUGUCGGCUGGCGUUUUAGCCCCCGCGUGAGGACGAGUCGCGCCCGCUGGCUGUGGACCGGAGACACGAAACAGAAGAAACAAGUCCACCCGGUCAGCGUGAUGUCCGCCUGACCCGGGGGGCUCUGAGCAGCGGGGAGCCGGUCCAGCUUCUGGUCCCCAGCCGAAGUUUCGCCUUUUUCCGCCUCGAAGAGGCGCCAGCGACCCGUUUCCCUCGCCUGGUCCGGGUUCGGAGCUCGGUUCGGCGGGCCGGGCUGAGGGGCAGGUUUCAGCAUCAUGGGGCUCUUCCGAGACCGAGAGACACACAGAAUGUUUGGGCAACUCUUCCUCAUCCUCUUCCUCAUCCUCACGCUGGGCUGUCAGUCCUCCCAGACAAGAAUGUUGAAAUUUGUCGUAGCUGUGUUUCGUCAUGGUGAUCGAUCUCCAAUUGAAUCGUACCCUACGGACCCUCACAGAGACACAGCCUGGCCACAGGGGUAUGGACAGCUGACUGAGGUACUUCUGGUACAAAUGUCUAUGUGACUGACUUGUCUGUACUGUUAAUAUGAAUGUACAUUAAUUUCUCCAUCGUGAUCACUGCAGUGUCAAAGUACUGGUCUCACUUUCUAAGCAACAAAAUAAACACAUUGGGGGGAAAACUACACCUCCCAGCAUGCCACACAGGAGACAGUGGCAAUGAAGGUGGUUCUGGGAGCU